RNAcentral lists this transfer RNA (88 nucleotides) under Parcubacteria group bacterium ADurb.Bin216. RNAcentral describes it as "tRNA-Ser". It matches the Rfam family "tRNA". From Rfam's summary of the family: Transfer RNA (tRNA) molecules are approximately 80 nucleotides in length. Their secondary structure includes four short double-helical elements and three loops (D, anti-codon, and T loops). RNAcentral also lists the same sequence under 2 other names. The record is from RNAcentral.
GGAGGGAUGUCAGAGCGGACGAAUGAGAUAGUCUUGAAAACUAUUGUGGGGCAACUCACCGGGGGUUCGAAUCCCUCUCCCUCCGCCA